GCCUGGCUGGCUCAGUCGGUAGAGCAUGUGACUCUUCAUCUCAGGGUUGUGAGUUGAAGCCCCAUGCUGGGUG
This 73-nucleotide transfer RNA is filed under the name Ailuropoda melanoleuca (giant panda). It matches the Rfam family "tRNA". Rfam says of the family: Transfer RNA (tRNA) molecules are approximately 80 nucleotides in length. Their secondary structure includes four short double-helical elements and three loops (D, anti-codon, and T loops). Lineage: Eukaryota; Metazoa; Chordata; Mammalia; Carnivora; Ursidae. The record is from Rfam by way of RNAcentral.